This 497-nucleotide ribosomal RNA is filed under the name uncultured bacterium. Its description in RNAcentral is "partial 16S ribosomal RNA". It matches the Rfam family "Bacterial small subunit ribosomal RNA", at positions 28 to 507 of the family's 1533-position model. The record is from RNAcentral.
GAUGAACGCUGGCGGCGUGCCUAAUACAUGCGAGUCGAGCGAACGGACGAGAAGCUUGCUUCUCUGAUGUUAGCGGCGGACGGGUGAGUAACACGUGGAUAACCUACCUAUAAGACUGGGAUAACUUCGGGAAACCGUAGCUAAUACCGGAUAAUAUUUUGAACCGCAUGGUUCAAAAGUGAAAGACGGUCUUGCUGUCACUUAUAGAUGGAUCCGCGCUGCAUUAGCUAGUUGGUAAGGUAACGGCCUACCAAGGCAACGAUGCAUAGCCGACCUGAGAGGGUGAUCGGCCACACUGGAACUGAGACACGGUCCAGACUCCUACGGGAGGCAGCAGUAGGGAAUCUUCCGCAAUGGGCGAAAGCCUGACGGAGCAACGCCGCGUGAGUGAUGAAGGUCUUCGGAUCGUAAAACUCUGUUAUUAGGGAAGAACAUAUGUGUAAGUAACUGUGCACAUCUUGACGGUACCUAAUCAGAAAGCCACGGCUAACUACGUG